CCCGUUCCCAUGCCGAACACGGAAGUUAAGCGUCUCAGCGCCGAAAGUAGUUGGGGGAUCUCCCCCUGUGAGGAUAGGACGUUGCCAGGC
This 90-nucleotide ribosomal RNA is filed under the name Exiguobacterium sp. SRB7LM. Lineage: Bacteria; Bacillati; Bacillota; Bacilli; Caryophanales. The record is from RNAcentral.